This 332-nucleotide long non-coding RNA is filed under the name Gallus gallus (chicken). Lineage: Eukaryota; Metazoa; Chordata; Aves; Galliformes; Phasianidae. The record is from RNAcentral.
GGUCAACGUAGUCCAGUUGCAGUGCAGUAAGACUCCUUUUGCACCCUUCCUUUACCAAGGACUUCUCGUGAAAUGUGUUCCAUAACUUAGUGACAACGAAGAGGUCUUCCCGCUUCACAGCCCCCUCCUUGAUCUUCUGCUUGAUUGCAUUCCCUAUUUCAUGCUCAUUCUGGUAGAAAUAGGCACAGUCGAUGUGGCGGUAGCCAGCAUCGAUAGCGUGUUUCACCACCUCUUCCACCUUUCCUGGAGGAGCCUGCCAGGUGCCCAGCCCCAGGACGGGCAUCUUCAUCUUGUUGUUCAGCUCCAUGCAAGGCACCGCCAUCCUGUCCCCA